Molecule: ribosomal RNA, 497 nt
Filed under: uncultured bacterium
Lineage: Bacteria
Description: partial 16S ribosomal RNA
Rfam family: Bacterial small subunit ribosomal RNA
Source: RNAcentral
GAUGAACGCUGGCGGCGUGCCUAAUACAUGCAAGUCGAGCGAACAGACGAGGAGCUUGCUCCUCUGACGUUAGCGGCGGACGGGUGAGUAACACGUGGAUAACCUACCUAUAAGACUGGGAUAACUUCGGGAAACCGGAGCCAAUACCGGAUAAUAUAUUGAACCGCAUGGUUCAAUAGUGAAUGACGGCUUUGCUGUCACUUAUAGAUGGAUCCGCGCCGCAUUAGCUAGUUGGUAAGGUAACGGCUUACCAAGGCAACGAUGCGUAGCCGACCUGAGAGGGUGAUCGGCCACACUGGAACUGAGACACGGUCCAGACUCCUACGGGAGGCAGCAGUAGGGAAUCUUCCGCAAAGGGCGAAAGCCUGACGGAGCAACGCCGCGUGAGUGAUGAAGGUCUUCGGAUCGUAAAACUCUGUUAUUAGGGAAGAACAAAUGUGUAAGUAACUAUGCACGUCUUGACGGUACCUAAUCAGAAAGCCACGGCUAACUACGUG